AGAGUCAGUGAGCCAAUAAGCAUCCAGCAUGCUUCUACCAAGAUCUAAUAAUGGUUGUGAUUGGCUGUCCAACGUUACACGUCGUAGAGACACAGAGGAAUAAUUGUACGUGACACUGAGG
Long non-coding RNA from Etheostoma spectabile (orangethroat darter), 121 nucleotides. RefSeq lists it as uncharacterized. The record is from RefSeq and is a predicted model, not a curated record. Lineage: Eukaryota; Metazoa; Chordata; Actinopteri; Perciformes; Percidae. The transcript is spliced from 3 exons.